UGGAGAGUUUGAUCCUGGCUCAGGACGAACGCUGGCGGCGUGCUUAACACAUGCAAGUCGAACGGAAAGGCCCCUUCGGGGGUACUCGAGUGGCGAACGGGUGAGUAACACGUGGGUGAUCUGCCCUGCACUUCGGGAUAAGCCUGGGAAACUGGGUCUAAUACCGGAUAGGACCACGGGAUGCAUGUCCUGUGGUGGAAAGCUUUUGCGGUGUGGGAUGGGCCCGCGGCCUAUCAGCUUGUUGGUGGGGUGACGGCCUACCAAGGCGACGACGGGUAGCCGGCUGAGAGGGUGUCCGGCCACACUGGGACUGAGAUACGGCCCAGACUCCUACGGGAGGCAGCAGUGGGGGAUAUUGCACAAUGGGCGCAAGCCUGAUGCAGCGACGCCGCGUGGGGGAUGACGGCCUUCGGGUUGUAAACCUCUUUCACCAUCGACGAAGGUCCGGGUUUUCUCGGAUUGACGGUAGGCGAGAAGAAGCACCGGCCAACUACGUGCCAGCAGCCGCGGUA
This 512-nucleotide ribosomal RNA is filed under the name Mycobacterium asiaticum. RNAcentral's name for it is "bacterial SSU rRNA". It matches the Rfam family "Bacterial small subunit ribosomal RNA", at positions 1 to 522 of the family's 1533-position model. Lineage: Bacteria; Bacillati; Actinomycetota; Actinomycetes; Mycobacteriales; Mycobacteriaceae. The record is from RNAcentral.